UAUUAAAGGUUUCAUCCAUUUAUUCUAUUAAUAAUUGGUUUGAUUAAUGAAAUAACCAAAUAGUGACAUGUGGCAUGCCAUGUGUAGCUUGUGUUGAUCAAAGUAGAAAUGGAUGAAAUUUUUACCA
Non-coding RNA from Gossypium arboreum, 127 nucleotides. Lineage: Eukaryota; Viridiplantae; Streptophyta; Magnoliopsida; Malvales; Malvaceae. The record is from Rfam.